Molecule: non-coding RNA, 111 nt
Organism: Acanthosepion pharaonis
Lineage: Eukaryota; Metazoa; Mollusca; Cephalopoda; Sepiida; Sepiidae
Source: the annotation of a GenBank genome assembly
UUACGGCCAUAUCACGUUCAAAGACCGGUUCCCGUACGAUUACCGAAGUUAAGCAACGUCGAGCCUGGUCGGUGCCAAGAUGGGCGACCGCUUGGGAAUAUCAGAUUUUGU